Molecule: ribosomal RNA, 1226 nt
Filed under: metagenome
Description: SSU rRNA
Rfam family: Eukaryotic small subunit ribosomal RNA
Source: RNAcentral
AAAUCGUUUAACGAGUAUCAAUUGGAGGCAAGUCUGGUGCCAGCAGCCGCGGUAAUUCCAGCUCCAAUAGCGUGUAUUAAAGUUGCUGCAGUUAAAAAGCUCGUAGUUGGAUCUGGGGCUUGAGGUCGCUGUCUAUCGUUUCGGCGAUGACGGUGGUGCUCAGCUCUGCUUGCCGGUGACUGUUGCGGUGUUCUUAAUUGAGCGCUGUAGCAGCACGGCACGUUUACUUUGAAAAAAUUAGAGUGCUCAAAGCGUGCUUGUCGCUUGAAUAAUGUUGCAUGGAAUAAUGGAAUAGGACCUCGGUUCUAUUUUGUUGGUUUUCGGAGCUUGAGGUAAUGAUUAAGAGGGACGAACGGGGGCAUUCGUAUUGCGGUGUUAGAGGUGAAAUUCUUGGAUCGCCGCAAGACGGACUACUGCGAAAGCAUUUGCCAAGAACGCUUUCAUUAAUUAAGAACGAAAGUCAGAGGUUCGAAGACGAUCAGACACCGUCCUAGUUCUGACCAUAAACGAUGCCGACCAGCGAUCCGUAGUGGUUGCUUUAUGGACCCUACGGGCAGCCUCCGGGAAACCAAAGUAUUUGGGUUCCGGGGGAAGUAUGGUUGCAAAGCUGAAACUUAAAGGAAUUGACGGAAGGGCACACCAGGAGUGGAGCCUGCGGCUUAAUUUGACCUAACACGGGAAAACUCACCCGGUCCGGACACCGUAAGGAUUGACAGACUGAUAGCUCUUUCUUGAUUCGGUGGAUGGUGGUGCAUGGCCGUUCUUAGUUGGUGGAGUGAUUUGUCUGGUUAAUUCCGAUAACGAACGAGACUCUAGCCUGCUAAGUAGUGUGUCUAUUGUGAUAUGGUAUACACUUCUUAGAGGGACAAGUGGCAUUUAGCCACGCGAAAUUGAGCAAUAACAGGUCUGUGAUGCCCUUAGAUGUCCGGGGCCGCACGCGCGCUACACUGGAGAAGUCAGCGUGUGUUAUCCGAGUCCGAAAGGAUUGGGUAAUCCGUUGAACCUUCUUCGUGCUUGGGACUGUGGCUUGGAACUAUUCCACAUGAACGAGGAAUUCCUAGUAAGUGCAAGUCAUUAGCUUGCGUUGAUUACGUCCCUGCCCUUUGUACACACCGCCCGUCGCUACUACCGAUUGAAUGGUUUAGCAAGGUCCUCGGAUCGUGGCCGUAGGGGCACGCAAGUGUUUCUGCGGUUUGCGAGAAGACGACCAAACUUGAUCAUUUAGA